RNAcentral lists this ribosomal RNA (1024 nucleotides) under Triticum aestivum (bread wheat). RNAcentral's name for it is "partial small subunit ribosomal RNA". Lineage: Eukaryota; Viridiplantae; Streptophyta; Magnoliopsida; Poales; Poaceae. The record is from RNAcentral.
UGUUGCUUCAUCUUGAUAGUUCCGGUUACGUUGUGAUUGUGAGGAUUCGUUGACUAUGUUGGUUCAUCUACUUCAUGGACUCGAUAUUCUUCCGAGUGGGAUUUCAGGCAAAAUGAUCAUUACCCUGGAUACCACUACUGAUGCAGAGCAUCCUUCCAUCAUCCCCAUGGACUCUACACCAAUGCAUCAAGCACCACGUGGACCUAUGACAAGAGCUCGAGCAUGCGCCAUUGAAACCGAGGUGAACUCACUCCUACUCGAGAUAGAUAUGGAGAUGAAUGGAACUUGGUUGCUACCUCACCGAAAUAUGCUAUGUGUCAUUAGGUACGAGGACGAACUCCGACAAGAGGUUAAGGAGUACCCCCAAGGCCUAAGAGAAGGACCCCAAGACCCAAGAGCUGACCGGAAGUGUCAAGAUGAAGAAAAGGAAGCGUGCAAAAAUUGCACUACCGGACAGUCCGGUCCCCACAUCAGACAAUCCGGUCGCACAGAAAUUGCACUACCGGACAGUCCAGUGGCACCCGAAAAUGCAUCUGUCCUCACCGCACUAUCCGGUCCUUACCACCGGACUGUCUGGUAGGCCCAGUUUCACUACAAAUUGGCCUAAAAAGCUCGUGUAACCAUCGAGGCCCAUACCCUUUUGCCCCUAGACUAUAUAUUUCGUUCUCCUCUUAGUUUCUAGAGUUAGCAAAGUAUUUUGAUAGACAAAGAGAGAGCUUUGCUCAUAUUCCUCCUCUUGGAGAUCAAGGCCUCGUCUUGGAGAUCAAGCCCUCCUAUUGGAGAAUGAUUCCCAUCAUAGGAUCAUCAAGACCUCACCUCCCUUAGGAGUGGGAAGAAAUUACCUUACUGCUAUUUUCCUUGGAUUGAUUUUGUAUGCUUGUAGAUCUCUUAUAUGCUACUCUAGUGGAUGUGUGAUUGUGGUUUGUUUGAGUGUUUCCUCUCUUGUAUUCUUGAUCUUUUCCCCCUCCAAGUGUGAAAAUAUCCUCCCCUAGGGUUUCACCCUACAACAUCUUGGUAUCAUGAG